This 549-nucleotide ribosomal RNA is filed under the name uncultured bacterium. RNAcentral describes it as "bacterial SSU rRNA". It matches the Rfam family "Bacterial small subunit ribosomal RNA", at positions 355 to 896 of the family's 1533-position model. The record is from RNAcentral.
UGGGGAAUUUUGGACAAUGGGCGCAAGCCUGAUCCAGCAAUGCCGCGUGCAGGAUGAAGGCCUUCGGGUUGUAAAAUGCUUUUGUACGGAACGAAACGGCUCUUUUUAAUAAAGGGAGCUAAUGACGGUACCGUAAGAAUAAGCACCGGCUAACUACGUGCCAGCAGCCGCGGUAAUACGUAGGGUGCGAGCGUUAAUUGGAAUUACUGGGCGUAAAGCGUGCGCAGGCGGUUAUGUAAGACAGAUGUGAAAUCCCCGGGCUCAACCUGGGACCUGCAUUUGUGACUGCAUAGCUAGAGUACGGUAGAGGGGGAUGGAAUUCCGCGUGUAGCAGUGAAAUGUGUAGAUAUGCGGAGGAACACCGAUGGCGAAGGCAAUCCCCUGGACCUGUACUGACGCUCAUGCACGAAAGCGUGGGGAGCAAACAGGAUUAGAUACCCUGGUAGUCCACGCCGUAAACGAUGUCUACUAGCUGUUCGUGGUCUUGUACUGUGAGUAGCGCAGCUAACGCACUAAGUAGACCGCCUGGGGAGUACGGUCGCAAGAUUA